CAGUAGCCACGGGAACACGAGGGGGGCAAGCGUUGUUCGGAAUUAUUGGGCGUAAAGGGCUCGCAGGCGGUUUCUUAAGUCUGAUGUGAAAGCCCCCGGCUCAACCGGGGAGGGUCAUUGGAAACUGGGAAACUUGAGUGCAGAAGAGGAGAGUGGAAUUCCACGAGUAGCGGUGAAAUGCGUAGAGAUGUGGAGGAACACCAGUGGCGAAGGCGACUCUCUGGUCUGUAACUGACGCUGAGGAGCGAAAGCGUGGGGAGCGAACAGGAUUAGAUACCCCGGUAGUCCCUGUCUCUUAUAC
This 301-nucleotide ribosomal RNA is filed under the name uncultured bacterium. Its description in RNAcentral is "partial 16S ribosomal RNA". It matches the Rfam family "Bacterial small subunit ribosomal RNA", at positions 509 to 807 of the family's 1533-position model. The record is from RNAcentral.